This is a long non-coding RNA of Cervus elaphus (red deer), 942 nucleotides long. RefSeq lists it as uncharacterized. The transcript has 4 exons. The record is from RefSeq and is a predicted model, not a curated record. Lineage: Eukaryota; Metazoa; Chordata; Mammalia; Artiodactyla; Cervidae.
GCACUCAAGACCCUGGGAGGAUCAAAGAGGCUGAUGUGACAGUUCAUGAAGCGAGGAGGAAGCAAACCAUCCCCCACUGCCAACACUAACACAGCCCUGUGCUUGAGAGUCUGGGAGAACCCAGUUGCCAAGUGUCUGCCUGCAUUUUCUCUGAGGCGGCCAGGCCCAGAGCAAGUCAGGAAAAUUACGGCUUUUAUCAAGCAGACAGUAUGGCUCUCUUUGAGGAUGGCCAAAGUCUCAGUCAUUGCUGGUAACUGCAACACAUGUGGUCUUUUCAAGAGGGACAGGAGUAUUUUCAUUGACUGGGAGAGAAGCUGCCUGCAUGAGACUUCAUUUAUUUGGAAUAUACGAGGGCAAGGCAAAAAGAGGUGACACUGAACCAGCUAACUCUGGGUACCAGUAACAUACAUGUCACUACCAUCGCGUUCGGGCUUCGCUGGUGGCUCAGCAGUAGAGAAUCUGCCUGCCAAAGCAGGAGACGUGGCUUCAAUCCCUGGGUGAGGAAGAUCUCCCAGAGAAGGAAAUGGGAACCCACAUCAGUAUGCUGCCUGGCAAAUCCCAUGGACAGAGGAACCUGAGCUAAACAAAGGCUCAGUCUCUGAAUUUCCAGAUGCACUUAAAAUGAAAUAAUGAUGUGGGUCCAGUCUUGCCCUACUUUAAAUUAAUUACUCCAGGAAGAGACAUUAAACCUUUCAGACCACCAGUGUGCAUAAAUCCUUUAGUACCCGAGACCAUACAUCCUCUCUUGAUUAUCUGGGACACAAAGAAAGUAGUUGGGACUGCCAGAGCCAAAACAUGGAUCCAGAGAAAUAAUGGAAGGUUGGCAAAAAGACACGUGGCUAACACAAAUCAAAUCAAAAUGGGAUAAACAAGAAGAUCUAGAAACUAAUUUGAAAUUGAAGAAAAUAGUCUAACAGAGUCAAGAAAAUUCACUUAAUUAAA